This 497-nucleotide ribosomal RNA is filed under the name uncultured bacterium. Its description in RNAcentral is "partial 16S ribosomal RNA". It matches the Rfam family "Bacterial small subunit ribosomal RNA", at positions 28 to 507 of the family's 1533-position model. The record is from RNAcentral.
GAUGAACGCUGGCGGCGUGCCUAAUACAUGCAAGUCGAGCGAACGGACGAGAAGCUUGCUUCUCUGAUGUUAGCGGCGGACGGGUGAGUAACACGUGGAUAACCUACCUAUAAGACUGGGAUAACUUCGGGAAACCGGAGCUAAUACCGGAUAAUAUUUUGAACCGCAUGGUUCAAAAGUAAAAGACGGUCUUGCUGUCACUUAUAGAUGGAUCCGCGCUGCAUUAGCUAGUUGGUAAGGUAACGGCUUACCAAGGCAACGAUGCAUAGCCGACCUGAGAGGGUGGUCGGCCACACUGGAACUGAGACACGGUCCAGACUACUACGGGAGGCAGCAGUAGGGAAUCUUCCGCAAUGGGCGAAAGCCUGACGGAGCAACGCCGCGUGAGUGAUGAAGGUCUUCGGAUCGUAAAACUCUGUUAUUAGGGAAGAACAUAUGUGUAAGUAACUGUGCACAUCUUGACGGUACCUAAUCAGAAAGCCACGGCUAACUACGUG